CCCUUAGAUGUUCGGAGCUGCACGCGCGCUACACUGAAGGAAGCAGCGUGUUAGAGCACCUGGCUUGAAAGAGCUGGGUAAUCCGGUGAAUGUCCUUCGUGAUUGGGAUAGGGACUUGUAAUUAUUUCCCUUGAACGAGGAAUACCUAGUAAGUGCGAGUCAUCAGCUUGCGCUGACUUACGUCCCUGCCCCUUGUACACACCGCCCGUCGCACCUACCGAUUGGAUGGUCCGGUGAAGCCUCGGGAUUGUGGUUCUUGCCGCUUUAUUGUGGCGUGACCGCGAGAACUUGUCUAAACCUUAUCAUCUAGAGGAAGGUGAAGUCGUAACA
RNAcentral lists this ribosomal RNA (330 nucleotides) under uncultured eukaryote. Its description in RNAcentral is "partial 18S ribosomal RNA". It matches the Rfam family "Eukaryotic small subunit ribosomal RNA", at positions 1470 to 1796 of the family's 1831-position model. The record is from RNAcentral.